UUUAAAGAAAGCAAUGGUGUACUCUAGAUAAAGCAUCAACAAAUCACGGCAAUAGUCUGUUUUCAAUCCUUCAACGAGUUUCCUAUUUACUUCUCACCCUCUACAAGGUCAACACAAUCUGAUCAUAACAGAUAGAAGACUAGCCCUCCUGUCAUAAACUAUGUUAAAAUUAGACAAAAAUGCAUAAAGCAACUGUUUUCAGACGCUGGAAAACAAGCAGCACAGGAGUAUGAUCCUUGAGAGAAGAGAAACUAACAAGGUUAUGGUCCGGACUUGCUAUCCAAUAUGUGAUGCAGGGAGAGGAAGACCAAACAGAAAACAGCAGUCCCGCAGAGCUCAGAAGACAGAUCAGUGGUUUCAGGUUUUAGCCUCCAGCACCCUUGGUUCAAGGGUAGACGUCCCUUCAGCAGAUUUCAAUCCUCCACACAAGUUCUGGGCUUACUGGACUCCACACGGAGAAGUGAAGAAGGAACCCUCACUACUCCUCCUGUACCUCAACUCCGCCGUUGUCAGACAGCACUGCACUUUGACCCUUUACCAUCUCAAGUAACAGCAUGCUUCUGAGAAAACAUAUCUUCCUGUCAAAACGGAAAUGAGGUACAAAUGACACAACAACAAAAAAAAAAGAUGAGGAAGGAUAACCUGAAUCAUUCCCCGACCAGGAAUCGAACCCGUGGCCCCUGCAGUGGAAGCGCGGAAUCCUAACGACUGGACCGCCAGGGAAUUCCCAACAAAUUAUUUUAUUCAUCACAAUAGGAUCUACAUUUCAAAAAAACAGGAGCACGUAUAGAACUGAAAUAUUUAUUCAGCCUAUAGACAAUGCUUGAUAUGCAUAUGGAUAGCCGAUCCAAAAAUUCCAUAGCCAAUUCAGGUAUGUUCUGCCAACAGACUGAGAACCAAACUUUGGUGUAUCACAGAAUCACCUGUAAAGCCUGUUAAAACUCCAUACGCCUGGCCCCAGGCACUAACCACGUCUUGACUGUAGUUCAGUAUGUGUCCAACAGAUGUCUUCACGCUUCUAUCCAUCAAAGGGAAGGCACUCCAGUAAACAAUACAAAAUCUAACAGUAAGUCACGUAACAAUGUAAUUUCAGUACAAACAGAAAAUAUAAUGCUUAAUUUAAUUUUUGUUUUUCUUCUUUGGCUUUUAUUUGGGGGAAUUAUUUACCUGCUAUCUACAGAAUCAUGUUCAUAAACAAAAUGGGAAACUAAUCACAAAUGUUCCUGGAUAUGAAUGCCAUUUUAAUGUUACUGUAUUUCAUCAAAUCUAAGAUGCCACUGAUUGUAAGGUAAACCACUGUUUAAUGUGCUGGAAAGAAAAGAAGGAAAUGCCUCCAAAUAAACCAUGACCCAAGCUUCUA
Molecule: long non-coding RNA, 1360 nt
Organism: Balaenoptera acutorostrata (minke whale)
Lineage: Eukaryota; Metazoa; Chordata; Mammalia; Artiodactyla; Balaenopteridae
Exons: 3
Source: RefSeq, a predicted model, not a curated record